ACGACAAAAAUGCAAAGGUGGCGAGCCGCCCGCGACAUGUAUCAAACCUGAUCGUUCCUGUUAAAAAGCAUGUUUAAACACGAAUAUCAAAGGUGAGCGGCGGCGAUCCUUUGUGCCGUGCCGCCGCUGUCUGGUUUAAACAUGCUCCUGGGCUUGCACGAACUUGUCGGUAACGCGGCGACGCCCGCGACGUGCACCCAGGACAGGAACGAUCUUGUUUGCGCGGCCCGCCUAUAUAAGGACGACUCCUUUCGAGACGUCCUUAGUGUGUCAAUGAACGUCAUUAUGGAAGCGUCGUAAUUAUCCUUUUACGUAUCAAUGUAUCGUCAGAGUGUGUUAGUGUCGAUUAAGUAGUCGCGUAAAGUCAAUCCACUACGGUGUUAACAUCAUUUGUGUAACCUAUGGAAUAAAGUAUUGAGUAAAAUCAG
Long non-coding RNA from Spodoptera frugiperda (fall armyworm), 428 nucleotides. RefSeq lists it as uncharacterized. The record is from RefSeq and is a predicted model, not a curated record. The transcript is spliced from 2 exons. NCBI's taxonomy places the organism in Eukaryota, Metazoa, Arthropoda, Insecta, Lepidoptera, Noctuidae.